CCCACUGGAGCCAACAAAAUUCAGAACAGACCAGCUUCCGUCUGAAAUCGCGUUCGUUGAUUUCCGAUCUAAGAUCCAUACCACGAAAAUUUUCAAUAGAGCAGUCCAGUCCGUCACUGACGGAAUAACAAGGGGAACUACAAAAACGGAAGUUAUGAGGCCGGGGAAAAGGCAGCGAGUCCAGUUUGAGGGCGAAGUAUUCACCUUCUGAAAAAUCUUCCUAACAGACCUUUAUCAGGCGAUUCGGCAUGCAUUCAAUGGAUACAAUCGAACAGUUUGAAGAGAUUGAGUUACGGGCGAUUUUUUUAUUCUUGUUCCUCGCUCGGCGACAGCUUGACUGCUCUGGCGACAAGCGUGUGCGCAACGUUACGCCAGGGCAGAGUCCCCCUUGCUCUUCCGAGUCAGGUGACGCUCUGGUUGAAGUCUAAUCCGAAACGAAAGGAAGAGGAUCCUAAAGCCAAGGAUAACGCGCCUCCGCAGGGAACACAGUCGCAGUCGCCCUGACAGGAGGGAGGAGGAAGUCCUAACCAAGGCGUCGGAACGGCGUAUCUUCUGGAAAGGCACGUUUGUCGACAAGCGUCUCCACACAACGACGUGUUCCAAGUCUUCUACAGGUUACUACUAUUUCGCCGCACCAACCUCCGCCCCUCGACAAUGUCCCGCGAGCGUGAACCCCGUCAUCGCAAGGCUGCAUCGUCAGCGUCCGUGCGUGCUCCUCGCGGUGCCUGCAAUGGAGGGAAGCGUCUGGAGUGUCCAGUGUGCGAGAAGCAGUUCGCCUUCAGAAGUCAACUAGAAACGCACCUUCGGACCCACACCGGGGAGAAACCUUUCGAGUGCACAGUUUGCGAGAAGAAGUUCAUUCGAAGUGGAGAUCUCAGAACACACCUUCGGACCCACACCAGGGUGAAGCCUUUCGAGUGCACAGUUUGCAACAAGAAGUUCACUGAAAGUGGUAAUCUCAGAAGGCACCUUCGCACCCACACCGGGGAGAAGCCAUUCGAGAGCACAGUUUGAGUGAAGUCCACGCUAAAUGGAACUCCAAGAAAACGCCUUUUUUGGCGCACCCAAGAGACAAGCUGAGUGAGUGAAGUACUUUCCCAUGAUUUGUUUUUAUGAUGUUGUUCUUACAGCUUACGUUUGCAGUAUAAUUUGAUAAGUUCUUCUGAA
This 1167-nucleotide unclassified non-coding RNA is filed under the name Thrips palmi. Its description in RNAcentral is "gastrula zinc finger protein XlCGF49.1-like, transcript variant X34". Lineage: Eukaryota; Metazoa; Arthropoda; Insecta; Thysanoptera; Thripidae. The record is from RNAcentral.